Molecule: ribosomal RNA, 254 nt
Filed under: uncultured bacterium
Lineage: Bacteria
Description: partial 16S ribosomal RNA
Rfam family: Bacterial small subunit ribosomal RNA
Source: RNAcentral
CACGUAGGGGGCGAGCGUUGUCCGGAUUUAUUGGGCGUAAAGAGCUCGUAGGCGGUUUCGUAAGUCGGGUGUGAAAACCCCAGGCUCAACCUGGGGACGCCACCCGAGACUGCGAUGACUAGAGUCCGGUAGGGGAGCGUGGAAUUCCAGGUGUAGCGGUGAAAUGCGUAGAUAUCUGGAGGAACACCGGUGGCGAAGGCGGCGUUCUGGACUGCAACUGACACUGAAAGACGAAAGCCAGGGGAGCAAACGGG